This 119-nucleotide ribosomal RNA is filed under the name Triticum aestivum (bread wheat). Lineage: Eukaryota; Viridiplantae; Streptophyta; Magnoliopsida; Poales; Poaceae. RNAcentral also lists the same sequence under 1 other name. The record is from RNAcentral.
GGAUGCGAUCAUACCAGCACUAAAGCACCGGAUCCCAUCAGAACUCCGAAGUUAAGCGUGCUUGGGCGAGAGUAGUACUAGGAUGGGUGACCUCCUGGGAAGUCCGCGUGUUGCAUUCC